This 253-nucleotide ribosomal RNA is filed under the name uncultured bacterium. RNAcentral's name for it is "partial 16S ribosomal RNA". It matches the Rfam family "Bacterial small subunit ribosomal RNA", at positions 524 to 776 of the family's 1533-position model. The record is from RNAcentral.
UACGAAGGGUGCAAGCGUUGUUCGGAAUCAUUGGGCGUAAAGCGCGCGCAGGCGGAUUUGAAGGUCAGAUGUGAAAUCUCGGGGCUCAACCUCGAAACUGCGUCUGAAACUCUAAGUCUAGAAUGUCGGAGGGGGUAGGGGAAUUUCACGUGUAGGGGUAAAAUCCGUAGAGAUGUGAAGGAACACCGGAGGCGAAGGCGCCUACCUGGACGACUAUUGACUCUGAGGCGCGAAAGCGUGGGGAGCAAACAGG